UUUAGAGAUAAGAGGGUGCUAGCUUGCUAGAACUUAGAGACAGGUGCUGCACGGCUGUCGUCAGCUCGUGUCGUGAGAUGUUGGGUUAAGUCCCGCAACGAGCGCAACCCACGUAUUUAGUUGCUAACGGUUCGGCCGAGCACUCUAAAUAGACUGCCUUCGUAAGGAGGAGGAAGGUGUGGACGACGUCAAGUCAUCAUGGCCCUUAUGCCCAGGGCGACACACGUGCUACAAUGGCAUAUACAAUGAGACGCAAUACCGCGAGGUGGAGCAAAUCUAUAAAAUAUGUCCCAGUUCGGAUUGUUCUCUGCAACUCGAGAGCAUGAAGCCGGAAUCGCUAGUAAUCGUAGAUCAGCCAUGCUACGGUGAAUACGUUCCCGGGUCUUGUACUCACCGCCCGUCACACCAUGGGAGUUGAUUUCACUCGAAGCCGGAAUACUAAACUAGUUACCGUCCACAGUGGAAUCAGCGACUGGGGUGAAGUCGUAACAAGGUAACCGUAGGAGAACCUGCGGUUGGAUCACCUCCUUUCUAG
This 535-nucleotide ribosomal RNA is filed under the name Campylobacter jejuni. RNAcentral describes it as "bacterial SSU rRNA". It matches the Rfam family "Bacterial small subunit ribosomal RNA", at positions 999 to 1533 of the family's 1533-position model. Lineage: Bacteria; Pseudomonadati; Campylobacterota; Epsilonproteobacteria; Campylobacterales; Campylobacteraceae. The record is from RNAcentral.